Long non-coding RNA from Osmerus eperlanus (European smelt), 1309 nucleotides. RefSeq lists it as uncharacterized. The transcript is spliced from 4 exons. The record is from RefSeq and is a predicted model, not a curated record. Lineage: Eukaryota; Metazoa; Chordata; Actinopteri; Osmeriformes; Osmeridae.
UGGAAUCCUCUGGAAUCACUCUGUAGCCUUUUUUGGACAAACUCUACAAAGGCAUUGUCUCCUCUCUCUUCAGCCUCAAAAAGAUCGAUGACAAAUGCGUCUGAAGCUAGUUUACCUGAUGUUAUGUGCUCACUGCGUUGGAGUGAUGUUGCGUUCUGACCAGCCAUGUCUUUACACUCCAUUGUGAUCGCAGCUCUCUCAUGCUGGGUGAGUGUCCAUCUAUGAACUGCACCUUUGUUUAAGGAGAAUCCAGUCAGUCCUCCUUUGGUUUUGGAGUCUCUGUUUGCUGUUUGCUCUAUGACUUGAUCACAGGCAGUGUUUGCAAACUCAUACUCCUGCUGUCUCUGAACAACAAAAUCCCCAGAUUGUACCUGUUGGUGUAUGACAGGAUGUGUGUCCUCCAGACUGUUCAUCUCCAGACAGUAUGAAGAGAGGUAUCUUGCAUAGUUGACCUUAUCAUAUGAGAAAACCCAUGGGAGCAUACAGUGGACACUGGAUAGAUGUAAAAUCCAGUUAGCCUCUCUUGUUCCCCUGAUGAACAGCAAUAGGGUUUCUGUCAUAGAGAUGUAAGAGCUCCAAAAGUGGAAUGUCUUGUUGUUUUUGUUGACUUUGAUGAAGUUCUCAUAUCCUGUCUUCAAUUUCAGGAAGGUGUCAGACCUUGCCACCAGUUCAAACUCUUCUCCAGGGAAUCUUGCUUGCAUGAUGUAUAUGAUCCUGCUGCAACAACCUCAGAUUCAAUGAGGACAUCUUGAAGGCCAGCAUCGGCAAAGCGCUUCCCAAUACAUGACAGGUCUGUUGGACUGGAAUCAAUGACAGGAAGAUAUCCCACACUGGAAGGUGGUGGAAUCAGACCUCUCUGAAGCAGGGUGUUGUAACCGGUCCAACCUGGUAGGACACUUCCAUGGAUUUGAGAUUUUCAUGAAGAAGUAAGCACAAUCUAAACCUCGUCCAGUGUCUUGUGCAUGUGUGUACUUCUCUUGGCCCAGUUCUACAUUUGAUCCAAAUGGUUGUGGGCCUGACCUUUUCCCUCUUGUGUAGGGUACAAGAUUCAGUGGAGGUGGCCUAAGAGAUCUCUUUCUUGUUCUCUGUAGAGAUACAGUGUCAGAGGUAGGCACAUCCGAGGAAAUCAUUCUUUGAAUUAUAAUUCCAUUUGUGUUGUGGGUUGUACCCUUUCCAGACAGAGUUUCUUCACCAAAGUCGUUAUUGUCCAAAACAAUUGUUGCUGGAACUUUUGCAAUUAUGUUUGGGGGGAUGUAGGUGUCACCUCUUUCUAUUUGCAUUUCAGCAAGACCUGUGCCAUGUUCCAGAA